This is a non-coding RNA of Equus caballus (horse), 4768 nucleotides long. The record is from RefSeq and is a predicted model, not a curated record. Lineage: Eukaryota; Metazoa; Chordata; Mammalia; Perissodactyla; Equidae.
AAUCUGGUACCAGUACUAGUAUUACUCUGGUACUGAAUCUGGUACCAGCACUAGUUAUUACUCUAGUACUGAAUCUGGCGUUGUUGGAGAGAGGUCAGACUCUGACAUCUUGAGUAAAAGUCACAUACAGUGAGAACUAACCUUGAAAAUCUCCUAGGAUGUCCCAUAGGUACAGUUGCGGUAUAGAGUGAGUCCUUUUAAGUCUAAUAGUCAGUUUUUCUCUGAUGUUGGAGCAGAUGCCAGUUUCUUUGGUUGGUCACAAAUGCAUUUAUAGACAUUUGAUUUGAAAAUUUUCUAUAUUUUCACCAUACCAUUAUUAUUACUAUUUGAGUAGUGCAUAGAGUUAAAUAUUCAUAAGUUAAAUGCAGAGAGGAUGCAAUUCCACCAUAUGCUACUUUGCUGGACAUUCCUCAGCCCCAAUUUGACCUCCUUUGUGAGGACCAAGAGAUGCUCUGAGGGUCCCAAACAAUCCUACCAUAGAGACAGAAUUGUCUAGAACGGUAGUCCUGUGGAAUGUCAGAGCUGGAAGGGACAUAUGGGAUCAUCUUGUCCCCCUCUGCCAUUUCCUAGGUAGAAACUGAGGCUUGGAGAGAGGAAGGGACCCCAACAAGUCAACAGUGGCUGGACCACAUGCGUCAGGGCCUCCUGGCAGGGCUGGGGCGCAUCCUCGGGAUGAUGCAACAGGCCCCACCAAGCAGCUUGACACACGGUCCGUCCGUCUGUGGCCAAGUGGAGUCACCAGACUUCCACUCCUGGACUCUGUUAUAGAAAUAUUACUGUCUCACAGUUUUCACAGGCUGUGGGUGUUUAUAACUCGUCUGAUCUUCACAACAACUCUGGUGAGCAGGCCUGAGUACGGAUUAUCAUCGGCAUUUUACAGAUGGGAAAACUCAGGCUCAGAAAGGGUGAGCGACUUGCCCACCAUCACAAAGCUUGUCCCUGGGGUCUCCUGGGUGUUGCUCAUCUGACACCAACGCCAGGUAUCUUUUCAUCACAAUGCACUUCCUCUCACUCAUUGUGCUGUGUUGUGUUUCAUAAGACGGUGGAGAAAUAGAGCUGCUCCAGCCAGGCUGGGAUUAGAAGUCAGGACGCUUGACUCCAGCCCGGGUCCUCGGGACCUUUGCUGGUCCAUACAGAGCAGUUAUGUUACUCAGGAAAAUGUGCCGCCCCCUUGGGUUCACGGCUUGGUGACAGACAAGAGGACUUCAGCUACUACACAGUGCCUGAUGGGGAAUAAGCCGAAGAUACUGUGCAGGACUUGACUUCCUCUGCCAGACCCAGCAGGCUGGCCAGUACUUGCUCAGCCGAGCUCUCUUCUGACGGCUGCACAUCGCUGUUGCCCUGCUGGACACAUAUUUGUGGUGGUCGUAUUUUUCCUCCUUAAUUUAUAGUCCAAGUUUUGAAGAUGAAGAAUGUCUUCCAGCCUCUGCACCCCCUCCUCAUCCAUGCUGGGAAAAUGGGAGAAGACAGUGGACUCUGGACUCUCUCCCUGCCCCUCAGAAAAAAUCUGACAUUCCUCUCACAUUAUUGGGUAAGUUGUUAUCUACAGCCAGUCCGUGUUCACGUCCUAAGUAGGGUGGAGGGGAGAAGAUUGCUUUCUUUAAUCCAAAAGGCCCACGAUGGCAUUUUUCUCACCCAAAGAGCUGCCCACCGUCUUGGCUACGCUGUCCUUUCCAUCUGUUCUCUCUUUAGCUACAUCAAGAAAUUUCAGAGGCUUUGCAGUGAGGGGAGUCCCUUAGCACUGCAGCAGGCUCACAUGGUGCCCUCCCCAACAGUCCCGAUGGUGCAAGGCCCACAGCCAGUGGCAUCCCCGUUGGUCAUGGGUCUGUGGCUUCUUCUUUCUAUACCAGCACAAUGUGAACGAGUGAGCAAACACUCGAUUUCUCUGUGUGUGCAGGGGAAAGUGUAUAAAUACAUUGGGGUUGGAGGUUAUGUGAGUGUGUGCAUGUGCGUGCAGAUUGCGUGUGUGCGUGUGUGUGUGCAUGCACUCCCUUAGGCUGGGACUGGAGGUGGUGGGGGGUGCUUGCAUAUGCUAGGGCUGGAGGUCGGGUGGGGUGUGGGACAGGGAGAAGAAAUUUGUAUAUGAUUUGAGAUUUCUCAGGCUGCCUCUUGCCAAGUGGUUUCCUCUGAAGCUCAGAAUCAGCCCAUAUGGCCUGGGGGGUGGAAAAUCUCACUGUCAGCAGCCAGUCUCUGACUCAUUCUGAAAGCCUGCGGGCCUGCCGCUGACUGCCAUGGGCUCCAUGCUCCGACUGGCUCAUCCCUGCCUUCAGGUUGUGCCUCUGAGGACCCAUGCCCCUUCCCAACAGCUCGGAGGGGUCACAGAGACCCUUUGUCACAUCCAUCCCCCUGACUCCUCCCUCCUGCUGGUCCUCUUCCCCACAUCGCAACUCCCUCCGCCAUUCCCUCACUCUGUGUUCAAAGAUCUCCCAGCAAACGUGUCCUCUACCCACCCCAGGAGGUCCUGGAGUGUCUUCAAAUUCCCACAGCUCCUAGCGGCCGUAUCUGCUCUGCCAUCCCUUCCUUUAUCUCUUACUAGCACUCCCUGCUGGGACCUGUCAUCCCAGAGCCAUGGACACAUGAUCAACAUCACCUCUGCUGGGACAGGAGCCACUGAGACUGUGCCCAACAGAGAAGCUGUUAAAACAUGCAGUUCUUCUGUCACAGAAUGUGCGCCCCAGGCACCUCAUGCCAUCCGAGACCCUCCCCUUGCUCCUGAUCCCUUCCCUACCUGUGGGGAGAGUCCGGGUGGGUGGGGCAUGGGGUAAGACGAGGUGUGUUUGUUGGGAGCAUUAGCCAGCAGGAUAGCAGCUGUGCUAGAUUCAGAUCCAGCCAUCCUGAUGCAUCACAAAGGGGCUUCAAAAGGACCACAUCAAAAGGCCAAGCAUCUCUCCCAGGAUUGUGCCACCUACUGCGCUGGGAGCUGGAUCCUCCAUGCAAGGUAUCACCCUGAGCUAAUACCCCCUCAGUUCCACAGGGUGUACCUGCUGCUGCUGACAGAGUCAGGGCUGGAAUUUGGCUGGCAUACGUCGGAGCCACCGUGCUGGUUCUUUAUAGGCGGUGAGCGAGCCAGGUAGCUGCAUCUGCUGCCUGGUCGAUGCCCUUGCCUGGCCCUUGUUAAAUAUUCUCCCCUGGGGUCAAUCCCUCCCCCUCACCACCCACCCACACUCCCUACAGUCAAUCAUGCAUUGGGACCUCGCUGCCAUCAAGACACCCAAAGAGGUACCCAUCUCAGGCUGGCGAUUUCUUCCGGGUGAACUACAUUAUCUGUUUCUACCUACAGCCGCCUCUUCCUAGGAAUCCAUAGACCAUGAUCAGAGCCACAGGGAGACUUCACACAGCCUGCUAGCUUCCUAAAUCCAUUCUCCCAGCUCCUCUGUUCUUCCACUACUUAAUCCCUCCUUCCCACGUCUGUCCUUGAUCUUGGCAUGAAGCCCCCAGCUGCCAGGUUCCGGGGAUGCCCUAUGGAACAACCAGAGCAGUCCAGCAUGGACCCCUGCACAGCCCAGGGGGGGCACCACCUCAUGGGAGCCAAGCUGGGCCCAGGGAGACGAGACUUCUUCCUCUUCCUCGAGAUGCCCUCAGACAAGAAACUCACUACCACCCAAGGCCCCUUCUGAUCAUUAAUGCAGUGGAUUAUGAAUUACAGUGUCACCAAAAGAGAUGAACAAAAAUUCAACUUAAAGUUGAUUUUGAGCUGCUAUUCUUGCCAGGUAAUAGAAAACACAGUUAGUCAUUUCCGGACAAGCUGAGUCCCUGUAGGAUAUGUGCCAUCUCUCUGGGGUGAACAGUCAGAAGAGGACCCUGCCUGCCUCCUCUCUCACCAGGCGACGUCUGAGUUCCGGGGUCUCAGGGCGUUGAUGGGGAGGAGACGUCUGCUUCCUGUCCCCAUCGGUCCUCUGAUGACACACCCUGGAUGUAAGGUUCUCCUCCAGGAUUUGGUCUUUGCAUGUUGGGGUCUCAAGGAAACAGCGGCUGUGCAGGCCUCUCCAAGGUGUGAGAGGCUACCCCCCAGCUCCCCGGCGCCACCUGCCAUUCUUUUGGCUGCUACAAGAAAAGGAAUAAGGGAUGGAUGGUUUGACUUGCAGCACAUGCUGCCUAUUAUUUUUGGUUGUUCUACAUUUUAACCCCGAUGGUAUUCCAGGCAACUGAAAGGAAGUUGCUGGAGAAGAAGACUUUACCUCAAUAUAUAGAAGCUGCCCUUGACAUGUUGCAGGAAUAUGGGUUUUGGAGAAGACAGACGUGGGUUCGUAAAUAAGAGUGUGAACUUCCUGACACACAGGAAUUAAAACGUGAUCAGAAAACAUUCUUCACUAGGAUGAGGAAUUGAGAAGUCAGGGAGGAGAGCUACAUUUCAUUGAGGGCCCCUAUUUUUCUCUUUAGAAAUGUUCAUUGCUUUUUUAAUUGUGAAAGUCACACAAAUUCGUUAUGGGAAAUUUUUGAAAUGUAAAAAUGGUGUAAACAAAAACAUUAAAAGUCACCCAUAAUCUCACCAGAAACGACCGUUGUAAAUAUUUUGACAUGUUUUCUUCUGGCCUUUUGUCUCUGUGUGUGGGUGUGUGUAGAUUUACAUAAUUCUGCUAAUUCUUUUACACACACUUUGCAUCCUCUUUUUGUUGUGUUUUUUUUGUUUGUUUUCUUACAUCUACUGUUAUACCAUGAGUUUUUUCAAUUUUCCCCUAAAAUAUCUGUGAAGCCACCAAAAAACAAGAUGAAAGAGAAACUGAAAAAUAAACGUAUCUUUUCUUGAGGGCAUGUUAUGUGCCAGGCA